AAUGAACGUUGGCGGCAUGGAUUAGGCAUGCAAGUCGAGCGCGAAGAGUCAUUUGCUUGCAUUUGACUCUGAAAGCGGCGUAAGGGUGAGUAACGCGUAGUUACCUACCUCCGGGUCCGGAAUAGCUGCGGGAAACUGCAGGUAAUGCCGGAUAACAUCUCAGGAUCAAAGGUGAGAUUCCGCCCGGAGAGGGGACUGCGUCCUACUAGCUUGUUGGUGGGGUAAUGGCCUACCAAGGCUUCGAUGGGUAGCGGGCGUGAGAGCGUGGCCCGUCACACUGGGACUGAGACACUGCCCAGACACCUACGGGUGGCUGCAGUCGAGAAUCUUCGGCAAUGGGCGAAAGCCUGACCGAGCAAUGCCGCGUGCGGGAUGAAGGCCCUCGGGUUGUAAACCGCGAAAGUAAGGAGGAAGGACCUGCGAAGAGCAGGUUUUGACCGAUCUACAGUAAGGACGGGCUAAGUUCGUGCCAGCAGCCGCAGUAA
This 485-nucleotide ribosomal RNA is filed under the name uncultured bacterium. RNAcentral's name for it is "partial 16S ribosomal RNA". It matches the Rfam family "Bacterial small subunit ribosomal RNA", at positions 29 to 523 of the family's 1533-position model. The record is from RNAcentral.